GGGGAAGUACUUUAAAAAAAAGGUUUAAUUUGCAGUUAAAUAAUAGGAUUUUACUCCUCUACUCCA
RNAcentral lists this transfer RNA (66 nucleotides) under Enoplochiton echinatus. Its description in RNAcentral is "tRNA-Ala". Lineage: Eukaryota; Metazoa; Mollusca; Polyplacophora; Chitonida; Chitonidae. The record is from RNAcentral.